This 2616-nucleotide long non-coding RNA is filed under the name Homo sapiens (human). RNAcentral's name for it is "HSALNT0063860". The record is from RNAcentral. Lineage: Eukaryota; Metazoa; Chordata; Mammalia; Primates; Hominidae.
CUAGCAUGAACAAUGGGCUAAUGGUGUGAAAAAAUAUGCACAUAUAAGAUAUAAAUGGAGUGGUUUGUAUGUGAUGGGAAAUGAAAAUAAAAGGCCUAGAAUAAGGGUCAAAUGAUGAAAAGCCCUGGAUGACACAUUAAGAGAUUUAGGCUUUGUUUUUGAUUUGAAAGUAAUGAGAAGGAUCUAAGUAUUUUUGUGGGAUAAAUGAAUAUGAACUCAGUCACAUUGUGCAGCACGUCAUUGUAUCUCUGCUCUGUUCAGCAUCUCUGUUGAUACUUGCUUCUCUGGUUGUGGAUAAAGUUCCAGAAAACUCACAAAACUUUUCUAGUCACUCAAUUUUUGUUGUAUAAUUCAAUUAAAAAUAUCAAAACUUCAAUUUCUAAUCAAAUAUAAAGCUUGUUCCCUUGGCUAGCCAGGCCUAUCACAAGCUCAAAAGUGGGGAAGAAAGAAAUGAUGGACUUCUUCACUCUGGCCUCAUCCGGCUCUUGUCCUCCACCCCUUUCUAGGAACGUCCUCUUCAAGGAUAACUUCUGUGGGGCCGCUAUCCAACCUGUAGGAAAUGUGCUGUUUUACUUUGCAGGUUGUUGAAGUGUCAUUAUGUAGUCUCUUAUCUUCAGAAGCAGGUCAGAUACCAGCUCAUGAAUCUUCCAGUUUCCAGGAGGCUCAUAUUAAGCUCUCAGAGUGAUUCUCUCAAAGCCCUCUCCUUUGGUUGAAGGCAAGAGGAAAGUACUGCAUGGAGAGGGGAAGAAGAAAUCAGCAGUCCUCUGACAACUCCAAAGGUGCUGUCCAGCAUGGUAAUGAAAAUCUGCAGCUGGGGAUCAAAUCACCUGCCCUCUUCUCCCAGCUUCUUCACUUAGGCUCUCUGUUAAAUUAGAUAGGUACUUAACUUGCCUUAGUUUCCUCAUCUCUAAAACGGAACUAAUAAAGGACUUCUCAGGAGAUUUUUAUGAGGAUUAAAUAGCUUCAUAUAUGUUGUACUCUUUGAAGGGCAUUCAGCACAUAGUAUUACACACUAAGUUAUAGGCUAAUAAGAAACUCUCUCCUUAAUGAAAUCCCUACCAAUCUUUUAAAAUUAAUCCAUAGCAUUUUUAUAUACCUUCAAAGUGGCUGAAAAGCUAAGAAUCACAAAACUAGACUAACAGUCCUUAGCGAGACCUGAAUAAAUUGUCUGGCACACAUUGAUUUCAGGUUUCUCUUGGAAAUCUGGGGCAACAAAAAACAUCCAUUCUGUAUCCUACUAUCUAGUCAAUACUAGUUUUAUCCUCAUGAUCUUAUGAGGUAUGUACUGUCAUUAUCCCAAUUUCCAGGUCAAGUAAGUGAAGUGAAGCAUGGAGAGAUAAACUAACUUACUCAAGGCCACAUGGUUAGUGAGGAAAUUAGGAUUGGAACACACGUGCUUUGAUUCCCAUAACUGAUCUUAAACACUGUGCAAUGCUACCUCUCAAAACAGUGUACACAUAUGCACACAUGUUUGAACAGGUUUUAGUGACUAGAUGUAGAAGAUAAAGGUGACUGGCAUUUUAAGCUGUACAAGAAACAGGGUGAUGCUAUAAACCAAAAAUAAAAGUUAUUUGGUAGCAUCAUUUGAGUUAUGCUGAGCAGAACAUGCGUGAACAAUAAUAUAUUGGAAAAUCAGUUCCAAAGAACUCCAAAGAAAGAUUAAAACUAGGAUUGUAGACAUGGAAGCUUUGUAAUAGAUACAGGUUUGUGAGAUGACUAAGUAGAAAACUCUAAAAGAGAAAGCCAAGAGCACGUGAGCAGAAACUCAAUAAGUUCCCUACAUUUAGGGGGAUAUGUAGGAAGAAAGACCAGUGAAUGAAACCAAGAUUUACGUACAAACUCGCAGCCUUAAAACUAAAUUUGACUUGCAGAUGUGUUUUGAAUGACAGGCAAAUUCAUUUUAAAAUAGGUGAUUCGAUAUUUAAAAAGACCAGAAAACGUAGGAACACUGGACCCAUGUUCCUGUGUGGGAACAAAUGGCCACAUUGAAUGAACUCUUACUUCUUUAGGUAGGGCAGGUGCUUUCUGGUCGGUCAUGGUCCCUACCACUCCCUCGUGUUUUGCCUGCUGAGACUUCACCUACUUACUCCUGUGUGUCGCCUGCUUGGUCCUUAGGGACUUGUAUUUGUGAUUCCUGCUUUAGAAAGGUGGAAAAGAAAAGAGAACUCAGAUAUAAAAUUCCUGAGAAGGAUGGCUUUCAAGAAGAAAAGAUAAUCACUCUCUCACCUGCUGCUUAAACAAAGAAAAAAAUGGAGGACUCGUGAAGGAAUUUAGAUUUAGAACUUGGUAAUUUGGGAAAAAAAUAGAAAACACAUUCAGUGGAAAGAGAUUGGAAUGUAUGUUGGCGGUAAGAAACAAAUGGAAAGUAAGGAAAAUUUUUUCAAGUUUUAUAUUGAAGCAAACAAAAUGGCUAAUCAAUUUUUUUCUCUAUCAAUGGAAUGUUUAUAAAGUCUUCUUUGACUCUGCAAAAUACAUUAUCUCUCCUGGGCAUCAACCUGUGUCAUUUGCCUAUCGAUGAAUCUUAUUCAAUCUCAAUCUCUCACAUUUUAGGUCAGGUCCAAUGUAAUCAUGGUAGGAAGGAUUCUAAUCCAUGAGAGUUAUUAAUAUUGAAAUGAG